AGAGUUUGAUCCUGGCUCAGGACGAACGCUGGCGGCGUGCUUAACACAUGCAAGUCGAACGGACGGACUUGAGAGCUUGCUCUUAAGGAAGUUAGUGGCGGACGGGUGAGUAACGCGUGGGUAACCUGCCCUAGAGUGGGGGAUAACACCGCGAAAGUGGUGCUAAUACCGCAUGAAACUACUGAGCAGCAUUGCAUGGUAGUCAAAGGAGUAAUCCGCUUUAGGAUGGACCCGCGUCUGAUUAGCUAGUUGGUGGGGUAACGGCCUACCAAGGCGACGAUCAGUAGCCGGCCUGAGAGGGUGAACGGCCACACUGGGACUGAGACACGGCCCAGACUCCUACGGGAGGCAGCAGUGGGGAAUCUUCCGCAAUGGGCGCAAGCCUGACCGAGCAACGCCGCGUGAGGGAAGAAGGUCUUCGGAUCGUAAACCUUUGUCUUUGGGGAAGAUAGUGACGGUACCCAAGGAGGAAGCCACGGCUAACUACGUGCCAGCAGCCGCGGUAAUACGUAGGUGGCAAGCGUUGUCCGGAAUUACUGGGCGUAAAGGGCGUGUAGGCGGCCUUUUAAGUCAGGCGUGAAAACUGUGGGCUUAACCCACAGACUGCGUUUGAGACUGAGAGGCUUGAGGAUCGGAGAGGGCAGUGGAAUUCCCAGUGUAGCGGUGAAAUGCGUAGAUAUUGGGAAGAACACCAGUGGCGAAGGCGGCUGCCUGGACGACACCUGACGCUGAGGCGCGAAAGCCAGGGGAGCAAACGGGAUUAGAUACCCCGGUAGUCCUGGCUGUAAACGAUGGGUAC
RNAcentral lists this ribosomal RNA (799 nucleotides) under uncultured bacterium. RNAcentral describes it as "bacterial SSU rRNA". It matches the Rfam family "Bacterial small subunit ribosomal RNA", at positions 8 to 816 of the family's 1533-position model. The record is from RNAcentral.